GUGAGGAAUUUUCCGCAAUGGGCGAAAGCCUGACGGAGCAAUGCCGCGUGAAGGAUGAAGGCCUAUGGGUUGUAAACUUCUUUUCUCAGAAAAGAAUUAUGACGGUAUCUGAGGAAUAAGCAUCGGCUAACUCUGUGCCAGCAGCCGCGGUAAGACAGAGGAUGCAAGCGUUAUCCGGAAUGAUUGGGCGUAAAGCGUCUGUAGGUUGUUUAAAAAGUAUUCUGUCAAAGAUUAGGGCUUAACCCUAGAUAGGCAGAAUAAACUUUUAAGCUAGAGUUUGGUAGAGGCAGAGGGAAUUCCCGGUGGAGCGGUGAAAUGCGUAGAUAUCGGGAGGAACACCAAAGGCGAAGGCACUCUGCUGGGCCAAUACUAACACUGAGAGACGAAAGCGAGGGGAGCAAAUGGGAUUAGAAACUCCAGUAGUCC
Molecule: ribosomal RNA, 426 nt
Filed under: uncultured bacterium
Lineage: Bacteria
Description: partial 16S ribosomal RNA
Rfam family: Bacterial small subunit ribosomal RNA
Source: RNAcentral